CUCCUCCUGACCCCAUCCCGCUGGGGGCUGGGUCUCACAUAGAAAGGGGACAGUCUGCAGCACCUUCUUCCUGGCCAAGCCCUUUCUCCCUAGGAGGACAGCGGUUCCUCCUUUAGUGAUGCUUGGCCCUGCCCCACUCAGUCUCCACACUGCAGCCGGAGGGUUAUUCCUGACACAAGUCCACCGUGGCCUUCUGCUGGCUUCAAAGUUGUGCCCUGAUGUCUGGUCAUAGCCAAAAGAGCCCUGAAUGACCAGCCCCUGCCUGCCGGCCACUUCUUCCUCGUGCUCAACAUGCUCCUGAUAUUUUAGGUCACCUUCAUCUUCACAUGAGCCAAGUUCCUCCUGGGGGCAGACUUCGCCCGUUUUUUCUCUCGCUCUUCCCCUGCAGCUCUCCUAAGUGAAUCCACCGAGCCCUUCUCUGUGGCUGCAGCCUACCGGCUACGUCUUCAGAGAGGUCACCCUGACGGCGCUUCCUGAACAACACUCUCAACCACCAUUCUCUGCUUAUUUGCUCAGCAAUUUGUUUUUCUUCUUUUCACACCACAACUAAUAAUUACUUGAUGUAUUACUCCAAACUGCUUCAUGGAAAUAACACGCUGUGUUCGGCUAUUUGGACUACGUGGGCUGAUGCAGGUGAGUAGUCUCGGUGCCUGGCUCUCCUUACUUGCUGUCUGGGCUCCACACAGCAGGUCUGCUUCCGAUCACCAGCUUGGGGCCCUGCGUCCCUCCUGCCUGAACCAUCGACCAACACAGACUCUCGGGCACCGGAGAUGGAGUGCCGUGCUAAGGGAUGUGAUUGCAGAACAGGUCUGGAUUAGAUCCACCCGCUCAUGCGUUUGAGUGCUCUAUCCUAUCCCGGAGAAGCACUGGAACAAGCCAGUAAAGGUGAAACCAGGGAGGAAAUGUUAGAAAUUAAACUCCAUUUUGCGCAUGCUCAGGAUGAACACUUCUCAAGGAACAUUACAUUCACGGAAAGAUGCUGAUUAUUGUGCUCAACAUCGCAGAGUGGCCAGGAUCCCCAUAAUUAGUCACUGCUGCCUUCGUUUACAAGGAUGCACAUACUGCAAGGCUGCUCAGGGCUGAAGUGCCCCGUAAUGCAUCUUUGCAGAGUCCAAGAAAAGAUGACAUUGGAAUAAAGAUCUGAAGGAAGUAAGGAAGACCUGCCGAAGAGAGGGAAUAGAAUGGAGGAAGGCUUUGAAGAGCAGUGAGGAGACCAGAACUGGGGAGAGGAGUGAAGAGAGUAGCUAGCACCGGAGAAUAAUCUCUUAUUUACAUAAAAGAAGAUCACUUUAAAUGAGGCUUUAUAUUAACACAUGACUGCUUCAACAGUGGGAGAGAAGAAAAAGGGAAGUCAGAAUAGUUUUGAUGUCUUUGUCUUUGAAAAACUGCAAUAAAUCCAAGGCUGAGGAUAGAGCGGCGAUCAGAAAUUAUAUGGAUUCCUCUAAGCCAAGCUAUAUAUCAUCGACACAAUCCAGCAGGCCAGGUAUGAGUGGAUUCCACAAAGACACCUGGAAGUGAUGACAGAAGCCUCAAAAUGAUAAAUGUAAAAAUCAAUGAUUUGUCUAUGGCAAGUCUCGGAGGACUGCUUGGGAAUAUCAGUGACAUUAGCUACUAAACUUGUUUUCACAAAAUGUUUGAAAAUAUUAUUCCCCCCCCAGCAGCAUCUGCUUCUGGAGGAUUGUGAUUAAAA
RNAcentral lists this long non-coding RNA (1690 nucleotides) under Heterocephalus glaber (naked mole-rat). Its description in RNAcentral is "lncRNA (ENSHGLG00100049611.1)". Lineage: Eukaryota; Metazoa; Chordata; Mammalia; Rodentia; Bathyergidae. The record is from RNAcentral.